UGCGUAGGCGGGUUUCUAAGUCAGAGGUGAAAGCCUGGAGCUCAACUCCAGAACUGCCUUUGAUACUGGAAGUCUUGAGUUCGGGAGGGGUGAGUGGAACUGCGAGUGUAGAGGUGAAAUUCGUAGAUAUUCGCAAGAACACCAGUGGCGAAGGCGGCUCACUGGCCCGAUACUGACGCUGAGGCACGAAAGCGUGGGGAGCAAACA
This 207-nucleotide ribosomal RNA is filed under the name uncultured bacterium. RNAcentral's name for it is "partial 16S ribosomal RNA". It matches the Rfam family "Bacterial small subunit ribosomal RNA", at positions 568 to 774 of the family's 1533-position model. The record is from RNAcentral.